RNAcentral lists this long non-coding RNA (572 nucleotides) under Homo sapiens (human). RNAcentral's name for it is "non-protein coding lnc-TBC1D26-3:1". Lineage: Eukaryota; Metazoa; Chordata; Mammalia; Primates; Hominidae. The record is from RNAcentral.
CAUGAAAGAAACCAUGUUUGCACUGGAAGAUCAGGUGGAACAGCACUGGGUUAUCAAGUUACACAGUACUCAACUUAUCAGUGAGCUAAAAAAUAAGUGGGGUCAAGCCCAGGUGAAAUGUGGAUUGGAAGUGAGUAGGACACUAAAGAACCCAGCAGCAGUGGGUGACUGUGGGAAGGUUUUUGACCGUGUGUUGGCUGGGGUUUAUGAAGAGUCUUUCAUUUGAGUGUGCUAUAAUCUCCCGGGAAGAAUGUCACCUAAGAAACAAUCAUUAAUCUCUUAAACUAAGUUGAAAACUGGAUAACAGAAGAAAAGACUCUAGUCCAGAGGAGAAAAGAAUAAUAAAUAUCACACUAAACACCAUGGAAUACUUCUCAAGUCACCAAAGAGAUGGAACUGGACAGAAUACUUCUGUCCAUAAGGCCCUUAGAAGCCCCCUAAGCGAAAUACCAAUGAGGACCUCCCCAGCAGCUGCUGUCUCUCCUGCCAGAGGCAUCUGGCUUAGAGCAGUGUGCAGUCGGCCAGCAAAGGGAUGACUCAAUGCUUGAACCUUCCUGACCUUCCCCUUACAG